Molecule: long non-coding RNA, 209 nt
Filed under: Lathyrus oleraceus (garden pea)
Lineage: Eukaryota; Viridiplantae; Streptophyta; Magnoliopsida; Fabales; Fabaceae
Description: Pisum sativum (pea) long non-coding RNA (PSAT_LNC022036)
Source: RNAcentral
UCAAGAGCUUCAUCUACAUAAACAACUUCAUUUACACUGUCACCCUGCAAGGCAACAUCAAUCUCAGCACAAACAACACAAAGGUUAGUGUCAGUACAAUCAUCACAUGAAUAAACAUCAUCAAAACCAGAUAAAGUUGGAAAAUCAGCUGAAAACAAAUCAGAAUAAGCUUCAUUAACAACUUUAGAAAACAACUCUAUUUGAAAAAC